Non-coding RNA from Aegilops tauschii subsp. strangulata, 2986 nucleotides. The record is from RefSeq and is a predicted model, not a curated record. Lineage: Eukaryota; Viridiplantae; Streptophyta; Magnoliopsida; Poales; Poaceae.
CAGACUUACAAAUGUAACUGCUAGUAGCGGGACCUGCCAUAUCUGCUUCACUGGUUAUUGAGUGGUAGAACCAACACGUCGUGUUUUUUAUGGGAUCCAUGUGUCAAUUUUGGUAGUUGAACGCACCAUAAUUUCUUCAUAGGUUAUUGUGUGAUGCCAUUAUUUUGUUCAAUCUAAUAUAAAUAUGUGGUGGCCAGAAAAAAGUUCAUUAGUGGGGUCGUGAGCUAAUGAAUAUGACAUUGCAGUUGUUUCGCUCCAUCUCAAAAAGGUAAAUACGAGAUUGGCUGGGAAAGAUUUGGUAGGAGGAUUUUUCUACCGGACCUAUGCUUCAGUGUUUCUCUAUGGGGUCCACACGUAGGACCCAUGAGAAUUUCUUUACGGCGUAUUGAGCAGUGUAAAUAUUUUCUGAGUCUAAUAUAAAUAAGUAGUGGCCGAAAAAAAUGCUCAUUGGUUGCGCUGGUGAGCUGAUGGGUAUGGCAGUACAGUGCAACAGUUAUUUCGUCCUAACAAAAAAAAAGCACUCCUUCCCACAUGGUCUUUCCUGUAGGGAUUUCCAACAGGGUAGAGUUCAUGCGAAACUAUGCGAAUAUAUCUUUAUCAUGUCAUUGUACUACACGACCUAUCCCCUGGUGCCUUUUUACUUUUUUUAUUAGCAGAUUAUACACAAACAUGGUACGUGCCUUUCUAAUUUUUCUGAUCAAAUUAUAGACGUUCAUGGUACGUGUCAAACCCUCAUUUUUUACCUCUAAAAAAACCCAUAUUUUUUUCACGUGAGCGUGUCAAACCCACAUAUUUUUUCUAGUUUAAGCAUAUAAUUUUUUCGCCCCUGCGCGCUGAGAAUUAAAAUUUUAAGUUAAUUAGGCUCGAUGGCAAAAGUUUCUCAACGAAGCCCAUUUAACUACCCACAGUUCCACCCUAAUCCCCAUUAUCUCAUCUGGCGUCGCCCCGAUCCAAUCUUGCGCCGUCUCCUUCCUUUCACCGUCUCGAUCCAAUCUGCUAGCAUCCCCCCUCCGCCGCUCCUCUCCAGCAGCCCCCACGCUCCCACUCCCGCCCCGUCCACCUCCGCCGCCCCCACCAUCGAUGCAACAACCACCGCCACCGCCACCAUCGAGACCGCGGAGGAAGCCGUUGCAGCACCGGUGGUGGAAGAGGCGCCGCCGACGCCGCAGGCAGCCGCGCUCGGUAGGAGCAGCCUCUGCACGGGACAAUUCUCCACAUGAUCUGGUGACGCAAGCCGUCGACCCACCGGAAGUACUCCGUGUCGUGCGGCUGCUCUUCUGGACGCUCUCGGCGCUGCUCGUCCAUGGCGUGAUCUCCGCUACCGCUGCCUCCAACCACGCUGACCUCUUGCUCCAGUUCUUCCACUUGGCUUACAGCUGGGCGGGUUCUUGGCUUCUGGCCGGAGCCAGCCACCGUGGCGCUCCUCUACCACGCCCGCUGCAUCCUCCUCGAGACCAUGCCGCCCUUCUCUGUUUCCCUGACGAGGCCACUGUCGCAGGCAUUUUGCAGCGCUGCUCCCAUCCAGAUGCUUUGUUGUGGCGCUCCUCCUGUCAUUCUCUCCAUUUAAAUGUUUGAGCGAGAAAUCAAUGGCGCUUUCUAGCUGUGCGGGAGUGGACAUGUUCAGCGUGUGUGGGAUUUCUCAAGUUCCAAGCUGACAUCGUCGAUGAGAAGACUGAACCCAAGGCUGAAGGUGGAGGAGGGCGUGGACGGGAUUUGGUCCCAGCAUUGCACUCAGAGAUGCUCUAAUAUUUAAGGAGUCCUUGUUUCUUAUAUUAUAUUUUAUCACAUUGCCAUCAAAUUAAAUUGCUUGAUUGAGUAAAUAGCUUCAUAAUGUACUAGUAAAUCUUUGCUACCAUUAUUGGCAAGUUUUUGUAAGUAAUCUUUCUAGUCAAGCACUUGUGUAUCAUCUAUAGUAAUCUUAUGUUUUGCCAUUUUUCUCUUCUGAUUUUCUCAUCUUGUUUUCAUAGGCUUACUGGCUGCGUCUUCUAUGCUACUUGGUACACUCGUUAGACCCCAAAGCGAUGAAAUCUUCAUUUUUUGUUAAUACAAUAUUACGUGAAAUGCUUAUUAAUAGUGCUGCUUAUUUAAAGUACUACAUUACAGAAUCUGUUUUGUUAAUUUUUACCAUCAAUGCAAAGACAAACAUGUAUUUGCGUGCUAAUUUUGCUACUUUAUUACAUUCAUGUUUGUUUUAGGAAAGUACAUAUGCGCAUGAAAAAUUGUUGCAUUGUCUAAGGUCCAAUUCCAAACUAGUUGAAGUGGAAUUCAUUUAGUUAGUUUUAUGACACAUGCUAGUAAGUAUUUUGCAAUUCAUUUAGUUCCACUCUUUUUCAUCCUGCAUGUUCUGCUACUACAAUCAUGCCACUAGUUCGGGAGAGUGAGAGGGAAAGGAGGGCAUUCCUCGCGGAACAUAAACGCAUGGGUGAUGUGUAUGCUAAGCUAAGGGGUGCAUUGAUUACAUGUACUUUAACCAUUAUACCUCUAGCUCAAGGUUAUGCAUGUUAUCUUGUCAAUUUUCAUCUCAUUAUGAUGCAACGUUGUUGUGUUUGUCAUUUAUAGGCAUCGGGAGGAGUUAGCCGCAAGACUUGAAGCACAAGAGAGAGCAUUUGAAGAGAUACAAAAGAAGCAGCAAGAAGAAUUGGAAGCUCUAAAGAAGAUCCAACAAGAGAAGAAUGAAGCCUAGGCAAAGAAGCAAAAGGAGAUGGAUAAUCUGCUUGAUUUUCUCUUGAGGGCUCAAGCAACUUAGCAAGCAACUCUGUAGUCCCAGUCCAAACCAGAUGGUUCAUGAAAGCCAUCCUUACAUUGCAAUCAUCAGGACAACAUAUGUGGUCUUUAGUUAAUAUUAGUUUUCAUCUUGUCUAUUGUCUAUGUCAAACUUGAGUCAGUUUUUUACCGUCAUUUUUGUUUACAGAAUGAUUUGGCUGAUACAAUCUCAUAUAUAAUAUGAUUUGUCUUACAUAUCAAUUUAUGAUGUGAUUUUUCUCUA